GAUGAACGCUGGCGGCGUGCUUAACACAUGCAAGUCGAACGGACGAUGCCCCUUCGGGGGCAAAGUUAGUGGCGGACGGGUGAGUAACACGUGAGUAACCUGCCUUGGAGUGGGGAAUAACACAGGGAAACCUGUGCUAAUACCGCAUAAAAUCAUAGGGUGGCAUCACCGAAUGAUCAAAGAUUUAUUGCUCCAAGAUGGGCUCGCGUCCGAUUAGAUAGUUGGCGGGGUAACGGCCCACCAAGUCGACGAUCGGUAGCCGGACUGAGAGGUUGGCCGGCCACAUUGGGACUGAGACACGGCCCAGACUCCUACGGGAGGCAGCAGUGAGGAAUAUUAGGCAAUGGGGGAAACCCUGACCUAGCAACGCCGCGUGAAGGAUGAAGGUUUUCGGAUUGUAAACUUCUUUUAUGAGGGACGAUA
RNAcentral lists this ribosomal RNA (423 nucleotides) under uncultured bacterium. RNAcentral's name for it is "bacterial SSU rRNA". It matches the Rfam family "Bacterial small subunit ribosomal RNA", at positions 28 to 450 of the family's 1533-position model. The record is from RNAcentral.